This is a long non-coding RNA of Camponotus floridanus (Florida carpenter ant), 432 nucleotides long. RefSeq lists it as uncharacterized. NCBI's taxonomy places the organism in Eukaryota, Metazoa, Arthropoda, Insecta, Hymenoptera, Formicidae. The transcript has 2 exons. The record is from RefSeq and is a predicted model, not a curated record.
UGUUUAUUAUCUUAAUGGUAGAUUUUUUCUGGAUUUUUCUUUGACGAAAUAAACACUUGUUGUAGGAAUCCAAUAUAACGGAUGCAACGGUAUAACUGACGAUGAUGACUUUAUGCACACUCGCGAGGAGACAAGAUCAAAGCGAAUGAAGAAAAAACAGAUUGCAGUGAUCUCAUUUGUCGCGCAACAUCUUUCAAUCUUCGUCGUAUUCUGCCGGCUCCAAAGUGUCUCCUCCGCUGCGGCGAGUGUCAACCCGUCGACGCGAUCGCCGACGCGCGAUGUGACAGCCAUGCGAGGGAUCGGUGUCGUUUGACAAAACUCAAUUAGUCACUGGCAGGGUGAUUAGAACGGCAGAGCGACGAUAAGAGCGGGGAAAAGAAGAUCGUAAAACCGUGUCUCGUCCCGACACGAUGAUACACCGCACGCACACAC